RNAcentral lists this long non-coding RNA (176 nucleotides) under Amphimedon queenslandica. Its description in RNAcentral is "uncharacterized LOC109589844, transcript variant X2". Lineage: Eukaryota; Metazoa; Porifera; Demospongiae; Haplosclerida; Niphatidae. The record is from RNAcentral.
CAGUACAAGUAAUACAUAUCACUCAGGUGAAUUCCAGCAGGCGAGUCCAUUGCACCAUAGUGCUUCAUUGGUGAGGUGAUGUCAAGGAAUAUUUUAUGCUUGAUUGCACUAAUGGAGUGGGCUAAAUCAAGAAGUAUAGGUUUGAAAGAUUACUUGACACUCAGAAAUCAGCAAGG